RNAcentral lists this ribosomal RNA (461 nucleotides) under uncultured bacterium. Its description in RNAcentral is "bacterial SSU rRNA". It matches the Rfam family "Bacterial small subunit ribosomal RNA", at positions 336 to 794 of the family's 1533-position model. The record is from RNAcentral.
CUCCUACGGGAGGCAGCAGUGAGGAAUAUUGGACAGUGGGUGAGAGCCUGAUCCAGCCAUCCCGCGUGAAGGAUGACGGUCCUACGGAUUGUAAACUUCUUUUGUAUAGGGAUAAACCCAGAUACGUGUAUCUGGCUGAAGGUACUAUACGAAUAAGCACCGGCUAACUCCGUGCCAGCAGCCGCGGUAAUACGGAGGGUGCAAGCGUUAUCCGGAUUUAUUGGGUUUAAAGGGUCCGCAGGCGGGCCGAUAAGUCAGUGGUGAAAUCUCAUAGCUUAACUAUGAAACUGCCAUUGAUACUGUCGGUCUUGAGUAAAUUAGAGGUAGCUGGAAUAAGUAGUGUAGCGGUGAAAUGCAUAGAUAUUACUUAGAACACCAAUUGCGAGGGCAGCUGGCUACGCAUAUAUUGACACUGAGGCACGAAAGCGUGGGGAUCAAACAGGAUUAGAUACCCUGGUAGU